This 1400-nucleotide long non-coding RNA is filed under the name Chrysemys picta bellii (western painted turtle). Its description in RNAcentral is "lncRNA (ENSCPBG00000001890.1)". Lineage: Eukaryota; Metazoa; Chordata; Testudines; Emydidae. The record is from RNAcentral.
CAAUCAUAACGAAGCUUACAUCACUCUGCUGAACAAAUUGCCCUAUAUCAGCUCUAGAAAUCAUACAGUGUCGUGCUCUCUUAUUUGUCAGUGUUUGAUUUUGCAAAGGGACACACAUUUCUGUUUAGCCAAAGUGAACAGAGAUGCCUCGUACUUGUGUGAACAGUGCAGAUAACUUCUGCUCUGUUUGUGGUGAAGUGACUUUUGCAUCACAAAAGCGCAGUAUAACCACUAUGGUUAAGAAAGCCUAUCACCUUUAUUUUGGCUGCAAAAUUGGAGUUCAGGACAAGAGGUGGGCCCCACACAUAUGCUGCAACACUUGUGCAACAAAUCUUCGCCAGUGGUUGAACAGGAAAAGGAAAUCUAUGCCUUUUGCAGUGCCAAUGAUUUGGAGAGAGCCAACAGAUCAUACCAACAAUUGUUACUUCUGCAUGGUGCCUCCAGUUGGGAAAGGUGUGUCAAAGAAGAAAAAGUGGAUUGUGCAUUAUCCAAACAUUCCAUCAGCUAUACGCCCAGUACCCCACGGAGAAGGACUGCCGGUUCCUGAUGCACCGGAAUCAUCCUCACUUGAGUCAGACGAGGAAGAGGAUGAAACUUCUGGUCCUGAACCAUCAAUGUCACAGGACCCACGUUUUCUCCCAUCGUCCUCCUCGGAACCACACCUCAUAACACAAGGUGAACUGAAUGACCUUGUCAGGGAUUUGGAACUACCCAAGAGUAAGGCAGAGCUGUUGGGCUCCAGACUACAGCAGUGGAAUCUCCUGGCAGGUGAUGUUAGGGUUUCCAUGUUCCGUGACCGUCAAAAGGAUCUUGUCCCAUUCUUCUUCAUGGAAGGUGAUCUUGUAGCCUGCAACAAAAUCGAUGGUUUGAUGGCAGCCCUCAACAUCGUUCACGAUCCAGAUGAGUGGAGACUGUUCAUUGAUUCAUCGAAGACGAGUCUUAAAGCUGUUUUACUGCAUAAUGGCAAUAUUUUACCAUCAAUUCCAGUUGGUCAUGCAGUCCAUAUGAAGGAAACCUAUGACAACAUGAAACAACUUUUGAGCUGCAUAAACUAUGACCAACAUCAGUGGCAGCUUUGUGGCGAUUUGAAGGUUGUUGCUCUCUUGGUCUGCAGACUGGAUACACAAAGUACUGCUGUUUUCUCUGCGAAUAGGAUAGUCGUGCAAGAGAUUCCCACUACAUCAAGAAAGAUUAGCCACUCCGACAGUCAUUGGAGCCUGGGAGGAAAAGUGUUCAGCAUCCACCACUUGUUGAAUCAAGGAAGAUUUUGUUACCACCCUUACACAUCAAGCUGGGUCUGAUGAAGAACUUUGUCCAGGCCAUUGAUAAAACACAAGCAGCUUUCAAGUACCUCCGUGGAAAAUUUCCAAUGUUAAGUGAAGCUAAGAUAAAGGAAGGUG